UGGGGAAUAUUGCGCAAUGGGCGAAAGCCUGACGCAGCGACGCCGCGUGAGGGAUGACGGCCUUCGGGUUGUAAACCUCUUUCAGUACCGACGAAGUGAGAAUGACGGUAGGUACAGAAGAAGCGCCGGCUAACUACGUGCCAGCAGCCGCGGUAAGACGUAGGGCGCGAGCGUUGUCCGGAUUUAUUGGGCGUAAAGGGCUCGUAGGCGGCCUGUCACGUCUGCCGUGAAAGGCCAGGGCUUAACUCUGGUUUUGCGGUGGAUACGGGCAGGCUUGAGGCAAGUAGGGGAGAACGGAAUUCCAUGUGUAGCGGUGAAAUGCGCAGAUAUAUGGAGGAACACCGGUGGCGAAGGCGGUUCUCUGGGCUUGUUCUGACGCUGAGGAGCGAAAGCGUGGGGAGCGAACAGG
RNAcentral lists this ribosomal RNA (409 nucleotides) under uncultured bacterium. RNAcentral describes it as "bacterial SSU rRNA". It matches the Rfam family "Bacterial small subunit ribosomal RNA", at positions 355 to 776 of the family's 1533-position model. The record is from RNAcentral.